RNAcentral lists this unclassified non-coding RNA (353 nucleotides) under soil metagenome. Its description in RNAcentral is "partial contains 5.8S ribosomal RNA, internal transcribed spacer 2, and large subunit ribosomal RNA". The stretch from base 1 to 120 matches the Rfam family "5.8S ribosomal RNA", at positions 35 to 154 of the family's 154-position model. The record is from RNAcentral.
GAUGAAGAACGUAGCGAAAUGCGAUAAGUAAUGUGAAUUGCAGAAUUCAGUGAAUCAUCGAAUCUUUGAACGCGCAUUGCGCCCGCCAGUAUUCUGGCGGGCAUGCCUGUUCGAGCGUCAUUACAACCCUCAGGCCCCCGGGCCUGGCGUUGGGGAUCGGCGGAAGCCCCCUGCGGGCACAACGCCGUCCCCCAAAUACAGUGGCGGUCCCGCCGCAGCUUCCAUUGCGUAGUAGCUAACACCUCGCAACUGGAGAGCGGCGCGGCCACGCCGUAAAACACCCAACUUCUGAAUGUUGACCUCGAAUCAGGUAGGAAUACCCGCUGAACUUAAGCAUAUCAAUAAGCGGAGGA